CUGUCACACCCCGUGCAACGCAGCAGGCUCUGUGGAGAGUGAGCCCCACUGCAGUGUGGGUGCGUCUUCAUCCGAGGGGUGCUUGGAGGGACUGGCCAGAUGGGCACAGCGGCAAGGAGGUGCUGGGAUGGGGAAGGUCCCCGAACUCCGGGCGGUGUUGGACAAGCUCAGGCUCACAGGUGUGGCCCUGCCUGGCCUGAGCUCUCCAGGAGCCUGGGGGCAGCUCUGACUGAGACAGGGAGAGAGAGAACACAGGUGAGGUCCCGCCAGGGAACACCUCGCAGAGCCGUGCGUCCCUGUACCGCCUCCCUCCCUCGGACACAGGCCAAGGCCCCACGGAGGACAGCCAGUGGCCCCCACGUGCCCUCUGACCCAAUCAGGCCCAGUGUGAGCAGGAAGCAAACCUCCACCGACCUCCACUGAGCAGAAAGCCUGGCGCCUCCUUCCUUCUCCUCCCUCCUCCCUGCUCAUCUCCCCUGUCCCUGCGCUCUGGUCAGGACUCUGCCUUCUCCAUCAGUUCCAAAGCUCCACCCGCAGACGAAACACCUGGAGCAACGUCUGCCCUCUGACCUCAACGGUAGAACACCAUCCAGGUGCGGUGGCUCACACCUGUAAUCCCAGCACUUUGGGAGGCUGAGGCGGGUGGAUCACUUGAGCCCAGGAGUUUGAGACUAGCCUGGGCAACAUGGUGAGAUCCCGUCUCUGCAAAAAAUUUAAAACUUAGCCGGCUGUCGUGGUGCACACUUGUGGGCCUGGGAAGUGGAGGCUGCAGUGAACCGUGAUCGCACCACCGCACUCCAGCCUGGGCCAGAGUCAGACCCUGUCCCAGAAAAGAAAACACAAAGAUAAAAGGCCCCAGAGUUUUCUGCAGAUUAAUAAACUGUCUCUACCUGGAACUGUGAAACAGUGAACGAGUGACUCACCAGCCCUGGGAGGAGGAAGGCCCCAGCCCCGUCCACAGCUCCUCCCACUUGGGCAGCUGUGUCCUGGCCCAGGUGCAUCUGAGCUCUGCCCUGCACAGCACAGGGCCCUCCACCCUCGCUGCUGUGGACAUGGAGAGCAGCGGGGCGCUGGGCGUGCCCCCGUAGCCCCGUAAUAAAAUCCACUGUGGCCGCUCC
Piliocolobus tephrosceles (Ugandan red Colobus) is the source of this 1118-nucleotide long non-coding RNA. RefSeq lists it as uncharacterized. The transcript is spliced from 2 exons. The record is from RefSeq and is a predicted model, not a curated record. Lineage: Eukaryota; Metazoa; Chordata; Mammalia; Primates; Cercopithecidae.